RNAcentral lists this ribosomal RNA (274 nucleotides) under uncultured bacterium. Its description in RNAcentral is "partial 16S ribosomal RNA". It matches the Rfam family "Bacterial small subunit ribosomal RNA", at positions 523 to 796 of the family's 1533-position model. The record is from RNAcentral.
AUACGGAGGUGGCUAGCGUUGUUCGGAAUUACUGGGCGUAAAGCGUACGUAGGCGGACUGAUCAGUUGGGGGUGAAAUCCCAGGGCUUAACCCUGGAACUGCCUUCAAUACUGUCAGUCUUGAGUUUGGGAGAGGUGAGUGGAAUUCCUAGUGUAGAGGUGAAAUUCAUAGAUAUUAGGAGGAACACCAGUGGCGAAGGCGGCUCACUGGCCCAUUACUGACGCUGAGGUACGAAAGCGUGGGGAACAAACAGGAUUAGAAACCCUAGUAGUCC